UCAUUUUCGCUUGACUAAUAAAAUAUCCUUUUUGUAAUUACUUGUUUUUUUUCUCGCCCAAAAUAACAAUUUUAUGGACUACAAAAAAAUAAAUUGAUAACCCCAUUCCUUUCCUACCACCAUCAAAGGAACAAGUUUUUUUUCUGCUUAUUGAAGUCGUAAUCUAUAAAACCUAUUACUUACAAGCCUUUCCUUCGAGUGGUGGCUGACCUGUGCGAACAUAUUUUGUGGCUGUUAUGCUUAUGACUUGAGACCGGUGUCUGGGCGAUAAACGUUGAGAAAAACGCUGUCGUUUAUGGCUGACCAAAGAGCGAAAAUAAUGAAAAUAAAUUCUAGCCAUUGAAAAUAAAAAAAAUGCCGCAUUUCACCAUCUCUUUAGAACCUGAGAAAAUAUGCUAACACCGGAUCAAAAUCUAUCUACUAACGCAUAUACACGGUGGUGGACUAAUCCUAUCAUUCGAACAUGAGUGGCCAAGUAACAGCAGUCAAAUAAAAUCCCUCACAUGGGCUCUAAUACAAAAACAAUGACAAAAUUUCUGAUAUGUACUAAUGUACACAACUGGUCUAGGUUUAGCUAAGUAGCUGGCGCACAUGGCCUUAAAUUACACAUAACAAAGUAGUUUUUUUUUUUUAAAAAGAAAAUUAACUCAGGCACAUGUUAAAACUCGAACUCUAAACCUGAGUUUUAGGUAGGCCACUCUUUACAAUCAGAGCUAGGCCUUAACUUCAAAAUAAAAACUGCAAAAUGCAAAUUUAUGAUCUAUAUGUUCGUGAGGCAGUGAUUUUUUUAUUCACAGAUUAUCUAGAAAAAUAAAGGUCAUAUAAAUACAUCUAGAUCGAUUCGUUGGCUAAUUUGCCCAGUACGAAUUUGAAGAAAUACAAGCUGUAAUAUAUAAAGGAUUAGGUUAUUUUCAGGAAUAAAUUAUAUAUAAAGGAUUAGGUUGUUUUCAGGAAUAAAUUAUAUUUCUGCUUGUACUUUACGAAUAUAUCAUUUUAUUUAUUUAUUUGGUGGGUAGUGCUUGGUAUUUGUUUAUGAAUGGCACCAUAAUGGUCUAAUGGAUCAGAUCGAACUAAGGUGAUCUGGUUCCCUAAGUUGGAGACGACAAGGAGACGCACGGCAUUUCAAUAUCUUUGUUAAUCGAAUGGUUGGCCAAAUCUAUAUCUGACUUAUAGCUAACUAACCUCGAUAGAUUCUUUAUUUUUUAAAUCCUUUUUAUAAAUAAGAGUUUACAUAUAAUUCUAAUAAAUUAUUUAUGACAAGUUUGUGCGAGUCAUCAAGACAAGUUGCUGGGUAGAGUUUAGGAAUUGAAUAGUUUUUUAUUGGCUAAAUUACCAGACCUAGGCAUUUUUUAAUUUAAAUAUUGUAGAUGUUAUGUCGGUAAUAUCUGUUCUAUUUUUUCUCUUAGCCUUCAUUUGAUAAGUUGUUGUAAGUUUUCAAUGAAAUCUUUAACAUUAUAUUAAAAAAAUUAAUAAUUUAUUCAAGUUAAAAAAAAUUCUAAUAAUUGAUGAAUAAGAGCAUAUAAAUCUUACAAUAUAAACGAAACCUGACCUCAAUUCAAACAAUGAAAUUGUCACUGACUGUGCUUUCCAUCGCCAGAACUGUUUGAUAAUUGCAUUUUGGAGUCAUCCAGAAACUUGAUAGAGAACCAGUGGGGAAGAAAAGGAAGUAAAGAUAUUUUUAAUUUUGUGCAGAGAAAAAAAUACAGCGAGAGACAUUGAAAGUCGCAACUUGGAACAGAAACCCCAAUUCCUUCUACAUGUUUUAUAUGAUGUCUCUUUGGCUGACGCCCUUUAUCUUUUGCUAACUCUUGGAAUCUGGAACCAUGUACACAUCAUAACCAUACACAAAAAUAAUUAACCUAAUUGUCCACUACUAGUUUUCUUUAUAUACCCGAAGUAUUUGACAUUUGUUUCACUCAAAAUAUGCGAUUUCAUGAGAAUAGAAUUAAUCAGAGAAGAAAAAAAAAAGAAUUAUCAAAAAGAAA
Molecule: long non-coding RNA, 1985 nt
Filed under: Citrus sinensis (sweet orange)
Lineage: Eukaryota; Viridiplantae; Streptophyta; Magnoliopsida; Sapindales; Rutaceae
Description: long non-coding RNA (CSIN_LNC001535)
Source: RNAcentral